Long non-coding RNA from Cygnus olor (mute swan), 2913 nucleotides. RefSeq lists it as uncharacterized. The record is from RefSeq and is a predicted model, not a curated record. The transcript is spliced from 3 exons. Lineage: Eukaryota; Metazoa; Chordata; Aves; Anseriformes; Anatidae.
CGUGCUCACUUGGCCUCUGCCACCUCCCACUUUCUGCUGUCGUUCAUUUCUUGCUGCGCCACCACUGGCUGCAGCAGCCGACUGACUUUGGUUGUGCAAUCAGGGUUACUAACUCAGGGAAGAAAAAAGAAAAGAAACUGCUGAUUCAGUGUGGUCUCCUGGGAUCGAGGGUUUGCUGAAACAAUAUGAUUAUUAAUAGAACAGCAGUUUCCAGCACAUUAUGGGACAUGUCUGCUGGGCCAUCAGCCUCGCCCUCCAGGCUCUCAGCCUCCUCUCCCUCCUGAAGCUCCUCCUGCCUCUUUUGAAGCACUCUGCCAAAGUCUUGGGGAAGAGCCUGAAGUCCUCCUGCUCACCCUAGCCCUUCCCUUCCCAUGCUGUGAUGCUGGUGGCUCAUGUUGGGCAGAAGGUACUCCUCAUGCUCUCAUUGCAAAGGUGCACCACAGCUGAGCUGAGUUUUAAGGAUGGACCACAGCCACAUCAAUGUCAUGGGCCCUCAGGUAACUGCUGGUGGAAGGCAAGGGAAGUGUCUGCCCCCUGGCCAUGCCCACUGCCUCUCUCAUGUCAUUUCACCACUUGUGUCAGCUGCAGGUGUUUGUCACCACCAGAAGUUGCCUACUCAUGGCUGAAAGAAGAGACGUUACGCCAAGCUCUGGGCUGGCGUUAGGUAAUCACGGUGCUUCUCAGCAGUGAUACAGCCAGGGAGCCUGGACAGAUGUCAGCUUCCUCAAGAUAAGCAUUUAUCUUGAAGGCACAGAAUCUGUGAUUUUUUUUAAGGUGUUUUUUUUGUUGUUUUGUUUUGCCAAAUGAGAAGAUGUCCUAGCUCAGAAGUGUUUUUCCAUCAGCAUGGCAGUGUUUCCAAACUCACCUAAUGGAUUCCAAAAUGUCCGAGGUAUAAAUGGGCAGAAUUCAGGGGGCUUUGGUGCCCCUCAAAAGACGGGGAAGAGGUGAGGGCACAAACAGGCCACAUGUCAGGAGAGCCAGGGCAGCAGCCUCUGCUGUUUUGGCGGUUGCCUCUAGACUGAAGUGAGAGUGGCAGCCAAAAAGACCGCAGUGCUCUCCUGCAGGACCUGGUAGCCGUGGAUGACCUGGGACAUGUCUGGUAGAGACCAGAGCCUCUGCCUCUGCAGUGAAUGAACUGGGCUGGUAAGCUUUGACAUCCCAGUGGGCUCUUGUGAUGAGUGGCCACCAACCAAACACCUGCUCAGCCGCUUGCUCAGCCUCCUCCUCCCUUGGGACAGGGAGAAAACAGAAGGAAAGCAAGAAGACUCCUGCAGUGACAUGAUGGCACUUUGGUGGGGAAAGCAAAGGCUGUGUGUGCAAGCAAAGCAGAAAGAGGAAUGAAUCAAUUCUCUACUUCCCAUUAGCACGCAGAUACACAGCCACUUCCUGGGAAGCAGGCCCUUGGCACGUGUGAUAGUUGUUUGGGAAGAAAAAUGCCAUAACCACAAGCAUUCCCCCUUCCUUCUUCUUUGCCUGAGCUUUUACUGCUGAGCACAACAUCACAUGGGGGGGAAUAUCCUCGUGGUCAGUUUGGGGUGUGCCUUGCUCUCCCCGAUGAAGACCAAGAUGUUCAGUGCCUGUGCCUAUCUGGGGACACUGCUGAACUCAGAGGGUGCCAGAGCAUGCUGUGAGUGAUCUGCCCACGGGCAGCUCACUGAGGGGUCAGGUCUGGGGUGUCCCUUGUGAGGGUCCCACUGGCUGCCCAGCUCAGCCCUGGUCAGCACACCCUCAAAGAACAAGCGGAUCUGACUUGAAGGACAAGAAAUGUUGUGGUGCCUGGAGGGUUUCCAUGCAGAAGAGAGGCUGAGGUGAACACACAAGAUCUGAACAUCGGUGAUUUCUGCUGGGGCAUUAAAGGUGGAGCCUGGACCCAUAUGGGAGCAAGGACUUAUAAAUAUUUUCAGAUCCCUGGUGUUUAAAUCCACAGACCACCUGUGGAUGCAAUUCUUGAGUGGGUAUUGCCAGAGGUGAGGUCCUUGUCCAAUGCAGACACCGCCACAGGGAGUCCCGAUGCUACAUGCCUGAGGUCACCACACUGCAAAACCCACUUUUGCCAAGGGAUCUGCCACCCCAUGGGCCUCAGAAUGAAAGAAGACAGAAGGUAGACCCCCAUUUUGUGUCCCUCCUUACCAGCCCGGGGCCCUUGGAGAGCCCACAUCCCCAUGUGCCACCGCUCCAGCUGCCGCGGCAGCACCUGGGCACUCGUGGGGCCGCGGGGCAGCACUUGUGCUAAAGCAAUAAAACCCCUGGCGCAGCCUGCCUGAUGUCUCUCCUCUUCAGCUUGAUGUGUUGCUUGGCUUUGUUGUAGUGAUUGAAACCAGAUUUUCUUUCCCUUCCAUGAGUUAUGUUAAUUUGUGUUUCAUCAGAACUUGCCUCUUCUCCUCCCUUUCUUUUUUAUUUUAUUUUUUUUUCCCCUUUUUUCCCUUUAGGCUGGAUCCAGCUGCACCACGAAUUCAAGGAACAACCUGCAAAAUAUUUUAAUGACUUCAACCUGCUCUUUGAGGUGAAUUAAUACCAGGUUGGCCUCUGCAGCCUGGUGGAAUAGUCAGGGUUGGCUGAACAGGCCACCCUUGGAGCUGAAAAAAUAUGUUCUGCAAGGCAGCCCCUCCUGAUAGGCAGCUCUGCCUUCAAGGAGCCCACACGCCUCGUCCACGGCUGUCCCCUGCUUGGGUACAGCUGAUGCCAGAGAUCUGAUGUGGCUUUGGAGACAUAAUGAGGUGUGCAAAGGGCAGCCACAUGAGGAUGGUUGGAGCUGUUGCUGGUGUGCUGCAGGGAGAGGUCAGCUGCUCCCUGAUGGUCCUCUGAUGGGAUUCUUUGGCUUGUCCCACGCUUUCAGCAAGGCCAAAAGAUUUCUCUAUGCACAGCAGACCAUGCGACAACAGCCCUGCUUUCCUCUACCCCUUGGGCUUUUAA